AAGUCGAACGCAGUAGCAAUACUGAGUGGCAAACGGGUGAGUAUAAUGUGGGUAUCUGCCUUUUGGUCUGGAAUAACACGGGGAAACUUGUGCUAAUACCGGAUAAGCCCUUACGGGGAAAGUUUUAACGCCGAAAGAUGAGCCUGCACUUGAUUAGCUAGUUGGUAAGGUAAAAGCUUACCAAGGCAACGAUCAAUAGCUGUUCUUAGAGGAAGACCAGCCACAUUGGGACUGAGACACGGCCCAGACUCCUACGGGAGGCAGCAGUGGGGAAUCUUGCACAAUGGGGGAAACCCUGAUGCAGCGAUGCCGCGUGAGUGAAGAAGGCCCUUGGGUUGUAAAACUCUUUCGUCGGGGAAGAAAAUGACUGUACCCGAAUAAGAAGGUCCGGCUAACUUCGUGCCAGCAGCCGCGGUAAUACGAAGGGACCUAGCGUAGUUCGGAAUUACUGGGCUUAAAGAGCUCGUAGGUGGUUAAAAAAGUUGAUGGUGAAAUCCCAAGGCUCAACCUUGGAACUGCCAUCAAAACUUUUUAGCUAGAGUGUGAUAGAGGUAAGUGGAAUUUCUAGUGUAGAGGUGAAAUUCGUAGAUAUUAGAAAGAACACCAAAUGCGAAGGCAACUUACUGGGUCACUACUGACACUGAGGAGCGAAAGCAUGGGUAGCGAAGAGAAUUAGAUACCCUCGUAGUCCAUGCCGUAAACGAUGUGUGCUAGACGUUGGAAAUAUAUUUUCAGUGUCGCAGCGAAAGCAUUAAGCACACCGCCUGGGGAGUACGACCGC
Molecule: ribosomal RNA, 781 nt
Filed under: uncultured marine bacterium
Lineage: Bacteria
Description: bacterial SSU rRNA
Rfam family: Bacterial small subunit ribosomal RNA
Source: RNAcentral